CAAUUAGGAUACUGUUCCUGUGUC
RNAcentral lists this unclassified non-coding RNA (24 nucleotides) under Mus musculus (house mouse). RNAcentral's name for it is "oocyte_clustered_small_RNA4529". The record is from RNAcentral. Lineage: Eukaryota; Metazoa; Chordata; Mammalia; Rodentia; Muridae.